GGUUAGACGAGAGACCCAAGUGGAUAGCCCUCGGCGUAAAGAGUGGUUAAGAUUGUUUCAAACUAAGGCCCAAAGACUUUUUAGCUGUUAUACGCGCGAGAAGACAUGAAGCCCAACUACGAAAGUGGCCUUAAAACCCUGACCCCACGAAAGCUAGGGCACAAACUGGGAUUAGAUACCCCA
RNAcentral lists this ribosomal RNA (183 nucleotides) under Thalassoma pavo. RNAcentral describes it as "partial small subunit ribosomal RNA". Lineage: Eukaryota; Metazoa; Chordata; Actinopteri; Labriformes; Labridae. The record is from RNAcentral.